UCUGGUUGAUCCUGCCAGUAGUCAUAUGCUUGUCUCAAAGAUUAAGCCAUGCAUGUCUAGGUAUAAAUAGUAUACAGUGAAACUGCGAAUGGCUCAUUAAAACAGUUAUAGUUUAUUUGAUAAUUGACAAUUACAUGGAUAACCGUGGUAAUUCUAGAGCUAAUACAUGCUUAAACGCCCGACUUUAUGGAAGGGUGGUAUUUAUUAGACUGAAGCCAAUAUUCCUUGUGUCUAUUGCGGUGAUUCAUAAUAACUGAUCGAAUCUCUUUUUGAGAUAAAUCAUUCAAGUUUCUGCCCUAUCAGCUUUCGAUGGUAGUGUAUUGGACUACCAUGGCAGUAACGGGUAACGAAGAAUUAGGGUUCGAUUUCGGAGAGGGAGCAUGAGAAACGGCUACCACAUCUAAGGAAGGCAGCAGGCGCGUAAAUUACCCAAUCCUGACUCAGGGAGGUAGUGACAAGAAAUAGCAAACCGGGAACCUCAUGGUUUCACGGUAUUGCAAUGAGAACAAUUUAAAACCCUUAGCGAGAAUCAAGUGGAGGACAAGUCUGGUGCCAGCACCCGCGGUAAUUCCAGCUCCACUAGCGUAUAUUAAAGUUGUUGCAGUUAAAAAGCUCGUAGUUGAACCUCUGUCUGGGGCUAGUUUUGGCUUUGGUCAGGCUAGUUCUAGGCAUCCGCCCACAAGACUUAGAGGGCAUUCAGUUGUUCACUAGGAGGAGUAGGCAUUUUACUUUGAAAAAAUUAGAGUGUUUAAGGCAGGCAAUCGCCCGCAUAUAUUAGCAUGGAAUAAUAGAAUAGGACACUUUUCCAUUUCGUUGGUUAUUGGAAUCGUGUAAUGAUUAAUAGGGACAGUUGUGGGCAUUUGUAUUUAAUUGUCAGAGGUGAAAUUCUUGGAUUUAUUAAAGACAAACUAACGCGAAAGCAUUUGCCAAGGAUGUUUUCAUUAAUCAAGAACGAAAGUUAGGGGAUCAAAGACGAUCAGAUACCGUCCUAGUCUUAACUAUAAACUAUUCCGACUCAAUGUUUGACUGGCUUAUAUAACCAGUUGAGCGUUGUAUGAGAAAUCAAAGUCUUUAGGUUCUGGGGGGAGUAUGGUUGCAAAGCUGAAACUUAAAGGAAUUGACGGAAGAGCACAACCAGGAGUGGAUUCUGCGGCUUAAUUUGACUCAACACGGGGAAACUUACCAGGUUAAAACAAUAGUGGGAUUGACAGUUUGAGAGCGCUUUCUUGAUUGGUUGGGUGGUGGUGCAUGGCCGUUCUUAGUUGGUGGAGUGAUUUGUCUGCUUAAUUGCGUUAACGAACGAGACCUUAACCUGCUUACUAGACUGGCGAUCAUCAAUCGUUAGC
Molecule: ribosomal RNA, 1346 nt
Filed under: metagenome
Description: SSU rRNA
Rfam family: Eukaryotic small subunit ribosomal RNA
Source: RNAcentral